UACGAAGGGGGCUAGCGUUGUUCGGAUUUACUGGGCGUAAAGCGCACGUAGGCGGAUUGUUAAGUCAGAGGUGAAAUCCUGGAGCUCAACUCCAGAACUGCCUUUGAUACUGGCAAUCUCGAGUCCGAGAGAGGUGAGUGGAACUCCUAGUGUAGAGGUGGAAUUCGUAGAUAUUAGGAAGAACACCAGUGGCGAAGGCGGCUCACUGGCUCGGUACUGACGCUGAGGUGCGAAAGCGUGGGGAGCAAACAGG
This 253-nucleotide unclassified non-coding RNA is filed under the name Devosia nitrariae. RNAcentral's name for it is "partial 16S ribosomal RNA". It matches the Rfam family "Bacterial small subunit ribosomal RNA", at positions 524 to 776 of the family's 1533-position model. RNAcentral also lists the same sequence under 1 other name. Lineage: Bacteria; Pseudomonadati; Pseudomonadota; Alphaproteobacteria; Hyphomicrobiales; Devosiaceae. The record is from RNAcentral.